AUGUCAACUGUGUCUGAAGUAUGGACCGCUUUGGAGAAGCAAUUUGCUGGGAAAUCAAAUAGAAUGCAGGCAACCCGCAUUAUGGAGGAAUUAGUUCAUCUAAAUCAGGGUACAAAGUCUGUAACAGAAUAUGCUGGGGAAUUGAAACGGCUGUACAGGGAUCUGCACUAUUAUCAUCCUUUUCAACCAGUUGACAAGAAAGAUCUGGCCAUUCAUCACAAAUGGUUUGAGACAAUUGUGGCCAAGCUGUUUCUAGAUGGACUAAAUCAGGAGCUUAACCUUCGACGACAACUCAUAUUCUCUCAACCAGAAUGGCCCAGUCUUGAUGAUAUUAUUUCCAGUGUGCUCGAGGAAGAAACCCGGUUGGCUCAACCCAAGGAGGAGGAUCUAAAAUGUGGAGACGACCGUGCGGCUUUAUCUGUGCAAUACCGCCAUACUCCCAGGCCCUUUGGCAAGAUAGAAAAAAACAAGUUGUUUUGUGAUCACUGUAAAAGAAAAGGACACACAAAGGUUGGAUGUUUUGAGCUGCAUGGAUAUCCAUCAUGGUGGGAAAAAGGAAAAUCUCGGACAGGGGGAGUUCAGAGUGUGAAUAGAAGACAUGCAAACCACACCGCGUCUCUACGGGAGCCACCAGUGGUAGAUGUACGAGCUCUUGAAGAGUUCAACUCCAAGCUUAAACUCUCAGAAAGCUCAUCUUCCUCCCAAGGCACUUCUAAGGUUGAUUCCAAUCUAAUUGCCACUUCUCACCCAGGAGCUAGGGACUGGGAAACAAUUGGGGACUGGGACCGAGCAUGA
Molecule: ribosomal RNA, 795 nt
Filed under: Triticum aestivum (bread wheat)
Lineage: Eukaryota; Viridiplantae; Streptophyta; Magnoliopsida; Poales; Poaceae
Description: partial small subunit ribosomal RNA
Source: RNAcentral